Molecule: ribosomal RNA, 515 nt
Filed under: uncultured bacterium
Lineage: Bacteria
Description: partial 16S ribosomal RNA
Rfam family: Bacterial small subunit ribosomal RNA
Source: RNAcentral
GAUGAACGCUGGCGGCGUGCCUAAUACAUGCAAGUCGAGCGAAUGGAUUAAGAGCUUGCUCUUAUGAAGUUAGCGGCGGACGGGUGAGUAACACGUGGGUAACCUGCCCCUAAGACUGGGAUAACUCCGGGAAACCGGGGCUAAUACCGGAUAACAUUUUGAACCGCAUGGUUCGAAAUUGAAAGGCGGCUUCGGCUGUCACUUAUGGAUGGACCCGCGUCGCAUUAGCUAGUUGGUGAGUGAACGGCUCACCAAGGCCACGAUGCGUAGCCGGCCUGGCAGGGUGAUGGACCACGCUGGGACUGAGACACGGCCCAGACUCCUACGCGAGGCAGCAGUAGGGAAUCGUCCGCAAUGGACGAAAGUCUGACGGAGCAACGCCGCGAGAGUGAGGAAGGCUUUCGGGUCGUAAAACUCUGUUGUUAGGGAAGAACAAGUGCUAGUUGAAUAAGCUGGCACCUUGACGGUACCUAACCAGAAAGCCACGGCUAACUACGUGCCAGCCGCCGCUGUAA